Molecule: ribosomal RNA, 253 nt
Filed under: uncultured bacterium
Lineage: Bacteria
Description: partial 16S ribosomal RNA
Rfam family: Bacterial small subunit ribosomal RNA
Source: RNAcentral
GACGGAGGAGGCAAGCGUUAUCCGGAAUUAUUGGGCGUAAAGCGUCCGCAGGUGGCUUUCCAAGUCUGCCGUCAAAGCCCGAGGCUUAACCUCGGAUCGGCGGUGGAAACUGGAUCGCUAGAGUGCGUCAGGGGUAGGGGGAAUUCCCGGUGUAGCGGUGAAAUGCGUAGAUAUCGGGAAGAACACCAGUGACGAAAGUGCCCUACUGGGACGUUACUGACACUCAUGGACGAAAGCUAGGGGAGCGAAAGGG